UAUUGUCUAUCAGUAAAGCUCAGCGCUUAAUACCAUUCAUGCAUCUUUUGUUUUUCAAAAUCUACUCGCAACUAAACCUAGAAAAAGGAAGCCUUAAGUUAUUUAGCAAACAUAUAGAAGAGAGAGUCUCAAUAUCAAACCAACAGCUGAAUGAUUUUGAGAAACAUAGAUUGUUUGUUGUUUCACUGGCUGGACUUCCUUAUAAUUUUGCCAAAACCGUUAUGCCCAUAUUUUGUACCCCAAGAAUUCUGAAUUUUCCAGUAGUUGACACCUUCCAGAGUUGUGUCGAAACCAGUCAUUAAGACUACAUGGCCACAUGUGCUUGUGUUUUUUCGAUUUGUUUGACCAUGAUAGAUUUUGUCAUAUUCAAAAUUUACAAGAUAUGAAAUCAGUUGUAAUAUGUUUAAAAAUGAAUUAUACCAACUACAAAUACCACUUACAUCUUUACAUUCCUUUAAGCUUUCAUAAGUAUCUAUCACAACAAGUAGAGGGCCGUCGUUGACAAGUUAGAUAAACUCUUCUUCUCUCACUUGUUUGUCUCUCUUAUAUACCAAAUCCUUGAUUUUGAAUGCAGGUAUAUCCUAUAAGAAUUCGUUUAUAAGUAUGAUUAGUUAAAAAUAAAUGAAAUUUGUAAGAAGACAAGAUUUAAAAAUGACACUUACAUAGUUUUCGGAACUUUUGAGACAGAUUUGUUUGAGUUUUCAUGAGUAUGGACAAGUUUUUCUAGAACAAGAACUUGUUUUGUCAAAAACUUUUUGAUACUUGCCAUAGUUACAGAUUUUUCAUACAUGUUCCUAAUAUUGUUUAUCAAAUGUUGCGGUGAUAGUUCAACAACUAGACCUAUAAGAGCAAGUCAUGCUUCGAUGUGGCACCAACCUAGAGUUUAUAAACCCCUAAGCAAAAUGAAAAAAUGUAAUUUAUAGGAAUGAAAUAAAUUU
This 938-nucleotide small RNA is filed under the name Arabidopsis thaliana (thale cress). RNAcentral describes it as "ATSL181590". Lineage: Eukaryota; Viridiplantae; Streptophyta; Magnoliopsida; Brassicales; Brassicaceae. The record is from RNAcentral.